RNAcentral lists this long non-coding RNA (302 nucleotides) under Rattus norvegicus (Norway rat). RNAcentral's name for it is "long non-coding RNA NONRATT017315". The record is from RNAcentral. Lineage: Eukaryota; Metazoa; Chordata; Mammalia; Rodentia; Muridae.
UAAAGGGCAUCAUGGUACCACUCUGCUAGUUAAUAAGUUUCAUCAAACUUCACCAUGAGUUGGAAAAGUCUGUAUCUGACAGAUAGGAAGCCCCAGCUCAUUCAAUCCUGGCAUCAGUAAAGAGGAAUCAACUGUCUCCUAAAAGAUUUUUGCGGUAGGACUCGCAGCUGGGAACAGAGUUUAGGGGAGAGCACGAGGGAGAUCUGCAUGGUUACCCUUAGCCACAGCAGUGCCACCACACUUCCAACGAGCAUCUAGAGAAGGAAAUUAUUCUCCUAAAUAUAAACGGUGUCUUAAUCUGA